UUACGGCCAUAUAAUACGUCGAAACACCGGUUUCCGUACGACCACCGAAGUUAAGCAACGUCGAGCCUGAUCAGUACCUAGAUGGGUGACGCUUGGGGAUAACUGUUGCUGCAAG
Non-coding RNA from Acanthosepion pharaonis, 115 nucleotides. The record is from the annotation of a GenBank genome assembly. NCBI's taxonomy places the organism in Eukaryota, Metazoa, Mollusca, Cephalopoda, Sepiida, Sepiidae.